AGGACGAACGCUGGCGGCGUGCUUAACACAUGCAAGUCGAGCGGUAAGGCCUUUCGGGGUACACGAGCGGCGAACGGGUGAGUAACACGUGGGUGAUCUGCCCUGCACUCUGGGAUAAGCCUGGGAAACUGGGUCUAAUACCGGAUAUGACCUGCUCUCGCACGGGGGUGGGUGGAAAGAUUUAUCGGUGCAGGAUGGGCCCGCGGCCUAUCAGCUUGUUGGUGGGGUAAUGGCCUACCAAGGCGACGACGGGUAGCCGACCUGAGAGGGUGACCGGCCACACUGGGACUGAGACACGGCCCAGACUCCUACGGGAGGCAGCAGUGGGGAAUAUUGCACAAUGGGCGAAAGCCUGAUGCAGCGACGCCGCGUGAGGAUGAAGGCCUUCGGGUUGUAAACCGUCUUUCAGCAGGACGAAGCGUGAGUGACGGUACCUGCAGAAGAAGCGAACCGGCUAACUACGUGCCAGCAGCCGC
This 476-nucleotide ribosomal RNA is filed under the name uncultured soil bacterium. RNAcentral describes it as "bacterial SSU rRNA". It matches the Rfam family "Bacterial small subunit ribosomal RNA", at positions 26 to 518 of the family's 1533-position model. The record is from RNAcentral.